GACGUAGGGCGCGAGCGUUGUCCGGAUUUAUUGGGCGUAAAGAGCGUGUAGGCGGCCAGAUAGGUCAGCUGUGAAAACUCGAGGCUCAACCUCGAGAUGUCGGCUGAAACCAUCUGGCUAGAGUCCGGAAGAGGAGAAUGGAAUUCCCGGUGUAGCGGUGAAAUGCGCAGAUAUCGGGAAGAACACCCGUGGCGAAGGCGGUUCUCUGGGACGGUACUGACGCUGAGACGCGAAAGCGUGGGGAGCGAACAGG
This 253-nucleotide ribosomal RNA is filed under the name uncultured bacterium. Its description in RNAcentral is "partial 16S ribosomal RNA". It matches the Rfam family "Bacterial small subunit ribosomal RNA", at positions 524 to 776 of the family's 1533-position model. The record is from RNAcentral.